GACUCGGCGUACCGCUCAGUAACACGUGGGUAACCUGCCCUAUGCUGGGGAAUAACCUCGGGAAACUGAGAAUAAUGCCCCAUAGUUCACUACGCCUGGAACGGUGAGUGGAUGAAAGCUCCGGCGGCAUAGGAUGGGCCUGCGGCGUAUCAGGUCGUAGGGGGUGUAACGUACCCUCUAGCCAUCGACGCGUACGGGUGUUGGGAGACAUAGCCCGGAGAUGGAUUCUGAGACACGAAUCCAGACCCUACGGGGUGCAGCAGGCGCGAAAACUUGGCAAUGCGAGAAAUCGUGACCAGGGAACUCCAAGUGGCUGGGGUAAGACCCAGUCUUUUCUUGACUCUUCAAAGGUCUUGGAAUAAGAGGUGGGUAAGGACGGUGCCAGCCGCCGCGGUAAUACCGGCGCCUCAAGUGGUAGUCGAUUUUAUUGGGCCUAAAACGUCCGUAGCCUGUUUGGUACAUUCGUGGGUAAAUCAACCAGCUCAACUGGUUGAAUUCUGCGAGCACGGCCAGACUUGGGACCGGGAGAGGUGUGGGGUACGCUCAGGGUAGGGGUAAAAUCCUGUCAUCCUGAGCGGACCACCUGUUGCGAAGGCGCCACACUAGAACGGAUCCGACGGUCAGGGACGAAGCCUAGGGGCACGAACCGGAUUAGAUACCCGGGUAGUCCUAGGUGUAAACGCUGUGGACUUGGUGUUGGGGAUUCUCAGAGGAUUCUCAGUGCCGAAGCGAAGGUGAUAAGUCCACUGCCUGGGGAGUACGGUCGCAAGGCUGAAACUUAAAGGAAUUGGCGGGGGAGCACCGCAACCUGAGGAU
This 816-nucleotide ribosomal RNA is filed under the name uncultured Candidatus Poseidoniales archaeon. Its description in RNAcentral is "SSU rRNA". It matches the Rfam family "Archaeal small subunit ribosomal RNA", at positions 75 to 893 of the family's 1478-position model. Lineage: Archaea; Methanobacteriati; Thermoplasmatota; Candidatus Poseidoniia; Candidatus Poseidoniales. The record is from RNAcentral.